Molecule: RNA transcript, 1853 nt
Organism: Cucurbita moschata (crookneck pumpkin)
Lineage: Eukaryota; Viridiplantae; Streptophyta; Magnoliopsida; Cucurbitales; Cucurbitaceae
Gene name: serine/arginine-rich-splicing factor SR34-like
Exons: 15
Source: RefSeq, a predicted model, not a curated record
AUAUCAUAACCGUACUAUAUAUUUACUCGCGCUACCAAUCUUCGAUUUCAAAGCCCUAAUAUUCAGUCCUCUCGCCUCUGCGCUUUGUCACCUACAGAUCGGAUUCGAGGGAAAAUGAGCAGCCGUGCCAGCAGAACAGUCUAUGUUGGCAAUCUCCCGGGUGAUAUUCGUGAAAAAGAAGUGGAAGAUUUAUUUUACAAGUAUGGUCGCAUAGCCCACAUUGAUCUCAAGGUUCCACCAAGGCCUCCUGGUUAUGCAUUUGUUGAGUUCGAAGAUGCGGAAGAUGCUCAAGAUGCAAUUAGUGGUCGCGAUGGCUAUGAUUUUGAUGGCCAUAGGUUGCGCGUGGAACUUGCUCAUGGUGGUCGUGGUCAUUCAUCAUCUAGUGAUCGUUAUAGUAGUCAUGGAAGCAGCCGAGGUGGGCGUGGAGUAUCUCGACGUUCUGAUUUUCGUGUAUUAGUCACAGGAUUACCUUCUUCUGCUUCGUGGCAAGACUUGAAGGAUCACAUGCGGCGAGCUGGGGAUGUUUGUUUCUCCCAAGUGUUCCGUGAUGGUAGUGGAACCACAGGGAUUGUGGAUUACACCAACUAUGAUGACAUGAAGUAUGCAAUUAAAAAACUGGAUGACUCUGAGUUCCGUAAUGCAUUUUCCCGGUCUUAUGUUCGUGUGAGGGAAUAUGAUUCAAAGAGAGAUUCAUCCAAGAGUCCUAGUCGUGGGCGGUCAUACUCUAGAGGGCGGAGUUAUAGUCGCAGUCGCAGUAGAGGUCGAAGUAGGAGCAAGAGUCGCAGUAGGAGCAAGUCUCCUAAGGGUAAAUCUUCCCAGCGGUCACCUGUAAAAUCCCGAUCAAGGUCUGCUUCCCCUGCUCGUUCACGAUCAAAGUCAUCAUCUCUUUCAGGGAUUUGUUUUUUGCACCCGUCUAUCAUUGGGCAGAAUGUUAGACUGGGUCAAAUAGACAACAUUAAUGUACUGAAAGUGAACUAAUUCUUUUGUAUUGCUCAAGCACGGGCCAGCAAGUGGUUUUAAGUUUAGCAAUGGAUUUGAUAUUACCUUUCUGGAUGCUAUGUGUUUGCAUGCGGUAUUGUGGCUUGUACAAUUCUCUUGAAUGUGAAACCCACCCUUCCCAAGUCUUGGAUGCAUUCUUGGAAUGGUGGAGAUGAGUACUGGACAGACUUCAAAUUAGUCUGGGCAAUGUGUCGGCCCUCUAUUGGAAUGUUGGAUAUGGAAAUAUGCGGCAUACUGGGGAUUGGAUAUUAGGAUCUUGAUGGAAUAUGGUUCAAUUGUCUUCAAUGCUUUUGGUUGAGAAGAUUUGGAUCCAAGAAGAUCAUGGAUUGCAAUAAUAGAGCUGGAUAUCUUGAACUAAGUGCUAUUUGGACUUGGAAGUCAUCAUCACUUUCAUUUACAUUUUCUGCUGCAAGAUUUGCCAAGCUAUAGGACGCACUAUCUGGAUUCAUAAUGGACCUUUUGAGGCACAGUAGGGAAGAAUGCUCCUCUCCCGUCCACUGACUUCCAUAAUAUAUAGUUUCCUGGAGAAUAAAGUUUUCUAAUUUUUUAGGUCUUCGCAGUUGGAUCUUUAAGUUUUGAAUUGCCAUAUCUUCUUCAUAGUUGAACUACUAAAAUACUAUUUUCCUUUCUCUCCUUAUACAAUGUGGAUGAGUCGUUAGGCUUUUGGCUCAAUUUGGUAAAAGAGACAUGGAUUUUAAAUUUGGGUUGUUUCUGAACCUUUUGCAGAUCGCGAUCAAGAUCCAGGUCUCCGGCACCCAAUCGUGAGAAACGUACUAGUAAAAGUCCAAAAAGGCGUGAAGCAAGCAAAAGCCCUAGCAGGAGCAGGAGCAGGAGCAGGAGCCGAAGCAAGAGCA